GACGAACGCUGGCGGCGUGCCUAACACAUGCAAGUCGAGCGCUGAAGUCUGGUUCUUUUACCAACUGGAUGAGCAGCGAACGGGUGAGUAACGUGUGGUGAAUCUGCCUUUGAGCGGGGGACAACAUUUGGAAACGAAUGCUAAUACCGCAUAAAAACUUUAAACACAAGUUUUAAGUUUGAAAGAUGCAAUUGCAUCACUCAAAGAUGAUCCCGCGUUGUUUUUGAUAGGUGGUGCGGUCAAGGCUCACGAAGGCGGUGAUACGUAGUCGACCUGAGAGGGUGAUCGGCCACAUUGGGACGGGGACAGGGCCCAAACUCUUACGGGAGGGAGCCGUAGGGAAUCUUCAGGAAUGGCAGAAAGUCUGACCGAACAACGCCGCGUGAGUGACGAACGUUGUCGGGUCGUGAAACUCAGAUAGUAGGGAAGAACGUAAGUGAGUGUGGAAAGCUCAGCAAGUGACGGUAACUGGCCAAGAAGCGACGGCUAACUACGUG
RNAcentral lists this ribosomal RNA (497 nucleotides) under uncultured bacterium. RNAcentral describes it as "partial 16S ribosomal RNA". It matches the Rfam family "Bacterial small subunit ribosomal RNA", at positions 28 to 507 of the family's 1533-position model. The record is from RNAcentral.